AUUGAACGCUGGCGGCAGGCCUAACUCAUGCCAGUCGAACGCGUGGCGGACGGGUGAGUAAUGUCUGGGAAACUGCCUGAUGGAGGGGGCUACCUACUGGAAACGGUAGCUAAUACCGCAUACCAUCGGAUGUGCCCAGAUGGGGUUAGCUCGUGGGUGAGGUAACGGCUCACCUAGGCGACGAUCCCUAGCUGGUCUGAGAGGAUGACCAGCGAAAAUAGAAAUGAAACACGGUGCAGAGAGCUACGGGAGGAAGGAGUGGGGAAUAUUGCACAAUGGGCGCAAGCCUGAAAAAGCCAUGCCACGUGUAUGAAGAAGGGCUUCGGGUUGUAAAGUACUUUCAGCGGGGAGGCGUUACCCGCAGAAGAAGCACCGGCUAACUCCGUGCCAGCAGCCGCGGUAAUUC
Molecule: ribosomal RNA, 406 nt
Filed under: uncultured bacterium
Lineage: Bacteria
Description: partial 16S ribosomal RNA
Rfam family: Bacterial small subunit ribosomal RNA
Source: RNAcentral